UACAGAGGGUGCGAGCGUUAAUCGGAAUUACUGGGCGUAAAGGGUUCGUAGGCGGUGCGGCAAGUUGGGAGUGAAAUCUCUGGGCUUAACCCAGAGGCUGCUUCCAAAACUGCCGUGCUAGAGUGCGAGAGAGGCCAGUGGAAUUGCAGGUGUAGCGGUGAAAUGCGUAGAUAUCUGCAGGAACACCCGUGGCGAAGGCGGCUGGCUGGAUCGCAACUGACGCUGAGGAACGAAAGCUAGGGGAGCAAACAGG
Molecule: ribosomal RNA, 253 nt
Filed under: uncultured bacterium
Lineage: Bacteria
Description: partial 16S ribosomal RNA
Rfam family: Bacterial small subunit ribosomal RNA
Source: RNAcentral